GAAAAGCACAACAACAGUUGACCGCCCCCAUCUGACUCUAAAUCUCUUCAUUUGAACGAUCUUUCCACCGGAUGCCUACUCAUCAGAGAUUGAAUGUGGUUUUCGAAUGUUCUGAUAAAAUAUGAAAAUGAGAAAGUUUUGAACUGCUAAAUUUCACGACUGUACUGAAUUAGCUUUCCAGAAGAUAUGCCAAGACUACGACAGAUUCUGUCUCUAUUGGCUGACGCUCAGACAACACUGCUAAUGCAGCCAGUCUACAUACUUCCAAUAAUUGGUGGAUAUACAAAUGGACUUUUGUGGCAGGUGUUCAGACUAUCUUCACAUAUUCAAAUGGCAAUGUUUCUCUUGUUAUUGUAUCUUCAAGUUGCUUCAAUUGUCUGUGCAAUUGUUACCAAAUAUCAUGUUGUUUCAAAUAUUGGAAAGCUCUCUGAUCGAUCAAUACUAUUCUGGAUUUUUGUUAUAGUUUAUCAUGGGUGUGCGUUUGUCAUUACAGGAUUUUUUAGUGUUUCUUGUUUGGCACGACAAGAGGAAGAAAAUUUGAUUAAAACGAAGUUUCCAAAUGCGAUCAGCGUAUUCACAUUGGAAAAUGUGGCAAUUUACGAUUUGCAAGUUAAUAAGUGGAUGAUGAUAACAACUAUACUUUUUGCAUUUAUGCUAACUAGUUCUAUUGUGAUAUCUUUUUAUUUUUCCGUCCGACUUCUAAAAACACUUCCAUCAAAGAGAAACACAAUAUCAGCUCGUAGCUUCCGUGGACAUCAGAUUGCAGUGACAAGUUUGAUGGCACAGGCAACUGUUCCAUUUUUAGUGCUAAUUAUUCCAAUUGGCACAAUUGUCUAUUUAUUUGUUCAUGUGUUGCCUAACGCACAAGAAAUAUCAAACAUAAUGAUGGCAGUCUACUCAUUCCAUGCUUCAUUGUCUACAUUUGUAAUGAUCAUCAGUACUCCUCAAUACAGAAAAAUGAUUCGAAGAGGAUUUAGGGCUCAACACCCAAUUAUAUCAACUCAGAUGACAAAAGUCGGUCCACCAUCAGCUGAUAUUAGUCUUCGAUUGAAAAAACUUUCGGCUCCCGAAAUGUGA
Molecule: RNA transcript, 1077 nt
Organism: Caenorhabditis elegans
Lineage: Eukaryota; Metazoa; Nematoda; Chromadorea; Rhabditida; Rhabditidae
Gene: sri-19
Gene name: Non-coding transcript of protein-coding gene sri-19
Exons: 8
Source: RefSeq, marked reviewed